This 169-nucleotide antisense RNA is filed under the name Photobacterium damselae subsp. damselae CIP 102761. RNAcentral describes it as "sok antitoxin (CssrC)". It matches the Rfam family "sok antitoxin (CssrC)". From Rfam's summary of the family: Also identified in Shigella as CssrC. The record is from Rfam by way of RNAcentral. Lineage: Bacteria; Pseudomonadati; Pseudomonadota; Gammaproteobacteria; Vibrionales; Vibrionaceae.
GGGUGCUCUUGGCUUUUCUGCCAUGAGCAUAGUAGCGUUCAGCUUGUGGUAGAAAAGACGAAAGCCCCGAAAGUUAAAUAUCUUUAACCAACGAGGCUCAAAUCAUGUUCAUAAGCAAAACUGAUUUUAGUCUCUAUUUAAUUAAGGGGCAAGCAAUAUGCUACGAAAG